GGAUUAGAUACCCGGGUAGUCCACGCCGUAAACGAUGAAUGCUAGGUGUUCGGGGUUUCAAUACCCUGGGUGCCGAAGUUAACACAUUAAGCAUUCCGCCUGGGGAGUACGGUCGCAAGACUGAAACUCAAAGGAAUUGACGGGGACCCGCACAAGCAGUGGAGUAUGUGGUUUAAUUCGAAGCAACGCGAAGAACCUUACCAGGUCUUGACAUCCCUCUGAACAGCCUAGAGAUAGGUUGGGCCUUCGGGACAGAGGAGACAGGUGGUGCAUGGUUGUCGUCAGCUCGUGUCGUGAGAUGUUGGGUUAAGUCCCGCAACGAGCGCAACCCUUAGGACUAGUUGCCAGCACGUCAAGGUGGGCUCUCUAGUACGACUGCCGGUGACAAACCGGA
This 394-nucleotide ribosomal RNA is filed under the name uncultured bacterium. RNAcentral describes it as "bacterial SSU rRNA". It matches the Rfam family "Bacterial small subunit ribosomal RNA", at positions 775 to 1167 of the family's 1533-position model. The record is from RNAcentral.